UUAAUGCCUUUUAACUGCUGACACCCUCUG
Molecule: non-coding RNA, 30 nt
Filed under: Rattus norvegicus (Norway rat)
Lineage: Eukaryota; Metazoa; Chordata; Mammalia; Rodentia; Muridae
Source: RNAcentral